RNAcentral lists this ribosomal RNA (528 nucleotides) under uncultured Alphaproteobacteria bacterium. Its description in RNAcentral is "bacterial SSU rRNA". It matches the Rfam family "Bacterial small subunit ribosomal RNA", at positions 976 to 1499 of the family's 1533-position model. The record is from RNAcentral. Lineage: Bacteria; Pseudomonadati; Pseudomonadota; Alphaproteobacteria.
GGCCCUUUCCAUGUUGGGGUGGGCCCCCAAGACACAGGUUGCUUGCAUGGGCUGUUCGUUCCGGCCUCUUUUUCGUGAAAAUUGUUGGGGUUUAGUUCCCCGCAAACGAAGCGCAAACCCCUUACCCCUUUAAGUUUGCCAUUCAGGGUUUUGGCUGGGCACUCUAAAGGGGAACCCGCCCGGGGGUCAAGCCGGAGGAAGGCGGGGAUGACGUCAAGUCCUCCAUGGCCCUUAUGGGCUGGGCUACACACGUGCUACAAUGGCGCCUACAGUGGGCAGCGAGAGGGCGACCUCGAGCGAAUCUCCAAAAGGCGUCCCAGUUCGGAUUGUGCUCUGCAACUCGAGCGCAUGAAGGUGGAAUCGCUAGUAAUCGCGGAUCAGCAUGCCGCGGUGAAUACGUUCCCGGGCCUUGUACACACCGCCCGUCACACCAUGGGAGUUGGUUCUACCCGAAGACGGUCAGCGAACCGCAAGGACGCGGCCGGCCACGGUAGGGUCAGCGACUGGGGUGAAGUCGUAACAAGGUAG